RNAcentral lists this ribosomal RNA (437 nucleotides) under uncultured bacterium. Its description in RNAcentral is "partial 16S ribosomal RNA". It matches the Rfam family "Bacterial small subunit ribosomal RNA", at positions 29 to 507 of the family's 1533-position model. The record is from RNAcentral.
AGCGAACGCUGGCGGCAGGCUUAACACAUGCAAGUCGAGCGGGCAUCCUUGUGGUGUCAGCGGCAGACGGGUGAGUAACGCGUGGGAACGUGCCCUUCGGUUCGGAAUAACUCAGGGAAACUUGAGCUAAUACCGGAUACGUGCGAGAGCAGAAAGGUUUAUCUGCCGAAGGAUCGGCCCGCGUCUGAUUAGCUAGUUGGUGAGGUUACGGCUCACCAAGGCGACGAUCAGUAGCUGGUCUGAGAGGAUGAUCAGCCACACUGGGACUGAGACACGGCCCAGACUCCUACGGAAGGCAGCAGUGGGGAAUAUUGGACAAUGGGGGCAACCCUGAUCCAGCCAUGCCGCGUGAGUGAUGACGGCCUUAGGGUUGUAAAGCUCUUUUCUCCGGGACGAUAAUGACGGUACCGGAGGAAUAAGCCCCGGCUAACUUCGUG